GAGGGUAUAGCUCAGUGGUAGAGCAUAUGCUUGGCAUGCAUGAGGUCCUGGGUUAAAUCCCCAGUACCUCCU
This 72-nucleotide transfer RNA is filed under the name Camelus bactrianus (Bactrian camel). It matches the Rfam family "tRNA". From Rfam's summary of the family: Transfer RNA (tRNA) molecules are approximately 80 nucleotides in length. Their secondary structure includes four short double-helical elements and three loops (D, anti-codon, and T loops). RNAcentral also lists the same sequence under 3 other names. The record is from Rfam by way of RNAcentral. Lineage: Eukaryota; Metazoa; Chordata; Mammalia; Artiodactyla; Camelidae.